UACGGAGGGGGCUAGCGUUGUUCGGAAUUACUGGGCGUAAAGCGCGCGUAGGCGGCUGCCUAAGUCGGGUGUGAAAGCCCCGGGCUCAACCUGGGAACUGCACUCGAUACUGGGCGGCUAGAGUAUGAGAGAGGGAGGUAGAAUUCCACGUGUAGCGGUGAAAUGCGUAGAUAUGUGGAGGAAUACCGGUGGCGAAGGCGGCCUCCUGGACCGGCAUUGACGCUGAGGAGCGAAAGCUAGGGGAGCAAACGGG
This 253-nucleotide ribosomal RNA is filed under the name uncultured bacterium. RNAcentral describes it as "partial 16S ribosomal RNA". It matches the Rfam family "Bacterial small subunit ribosomal RNA", at positions 524 to 776 of the family's 1533-position model. The record is from RNAcentral.